GUAAGUACACAUUGCUAAGACACGAAACGAGCGGUUUGUGUGAGAAAACGAACAGUGUUUAUAUAAUUUUACCUCUUUUAACCACAGCCACGUCCAAGUACUCUGAGGGCACGGGCGCUUCUGUCUGCGCAAGCGCCGGAAAGCCCCGGAAGUGAUCUCUCGCGCAUGUACUCCUGUCUAUCUAAUAAUUUGUUGAUUUGUAUCCUUCCUAGGAAAGUGAUGAAGAUUCCCAAAGAGAAGAGCAGAGUGCAGAACCUUUCACAUUGGCACAGGAAAAUGCCCCUCAAGAAAUACGUGAUGAUAUCCACUCUCAUGGACUAACGGAAGGGCAAAGUUGCAUCUCUAUUUUCUCCUUUGCAUUGAGACACAACACUACUGGUGUAU
Molecule: long non-coding RNA, 384 nt
Organism: Cyprinus carpio carpio
Lineage: Eukaryota; Metazoa; Chordata; Actinopteri; Cypriniformes; Cyprinidae
Source: Ensembl